UGGGGAAUAUUGCACAAUGGGCGGAAGCCUGAUGCAGCGACGCCGCGUGGGGGAUGAAGGCCUUCGGGUUGUAAACUCCUUUCGACAGGGACGAAGCUUUUGUGACGGUACCUGUAUAAGAAGCACCGGCUAACUACGUGCCAGCAGCCGCGGUAAUACGUAGGGUGCGAGCGUUGUCCGGAAUUACUGGGCGUAAAGAGCUCGUAGGUGGUUUGUCGCGUCGUCUGUGAAAUUCCGGGGCUUAACUCCGGGCGUGCAGGCGAUACGGGCUGACUUGAGUGCUGUAGGGGAGACUGGAAUUCCUGGUGUAGCGGUGAAAUGCGCAGAUAUCAGGAGGAACACCGAUGGCGAAGGCAGGUCUCUGGGCAGUAACUGACGCUGAGGAGCGAAAGCAUGGGUAGCGAACAGGAUUAGAUACCCUGGUAGUCCAUGCCGUAAACGGUGGGCGCUAGGUGUAGGGGGCUUCCACGUCUUCUGUGCCGUAGCUAACGCAUUAAGCGCCCCGCCUGGGGAAUACGGCCGCAAGGCUA
Molecule: ribosomal RNA, 530 nt
Filed under: uncultured bacterium
Lineage: Bacteria
Description: bacterial SSU rRNA
Rfam family: Bacterial small subunit ribosomal RNA
Source: RNAcentral